UGGGGAAUAUUGCACAAUGGGCGCAAGCCUGAUGCAGCCAUGCCGCGUGUAUGAAGAAGGCCUUCGGGUUGUAAAGUACUUUCAGUCGGGAGGAAGGUGUCAAGGUUAAUAACCUUGGCAAUUGACGUUACCGACAGAAGAAGCACCGGCUAACUCCGUGCCAGCAGCCGCGGUAAUACGGAGGGUGCAAGCGUUAAUCGGAAUUACUGGGCGUAAAGCGCACGCAGGCGGUUGAUUGAGUCAGAUGUGAAAUCCCCGGGCUUAACCCGGGAAUUGCAUCUGAUACUGGUCAGCUAGAGUCUUGUAGAGUGGGGUAGAAUUCCAUGUGUAGCGGUGAAAUGCGUAGAGAUGUGGAGGAAUACCGGUGGCGAAGGCGGCCCCCUGGACAAAGACUGACGCUCAGGUGCGAAAGCGUGGGGAGCAAACAGG
This 429-nucleotide ribosomal RNA is filed under the name Chloroflexota bacterium. Its description in RNAcentral is "Chloroflexi bacterium partial 16S ribosomal RNA". It matches the Rfam family "Bacterial small subunit ribosomal RNA", at positions 355 to 776 of the family's 1533-position model. Lineage: Bacteria; Bacillati; Chloroflexota. The record is from RNAcentral.